Glycine soja is the source of this 837-nucleotide long non-coding RNA. RefSeq lists it as uncharacterized. The record is from RefSeq and is a predicted model, not a curated record. Lineage: Eukaryota; Viridiplantae; Streptophyta; Magnoliopsida; Fabales; Fabaceae. The transcript is spliced from 3 exons.
UAAGCAAGAAAGAAUUGUGCAAACCAGACGUAAACAUGGCUCAGGGCUUCUCCUUCAACAUCUGAAGUUGAUAUUCCCACAAACUGCUCCCAUUACCUUGUGAAACGAAUGAAACAAGAUACCUGCUACGUUUGUAACCAACGAGGACAUUGGUCCUGGUACUGUCCUUCUUCCAAGUCACCCAAGCAAGAUUCAAGUACCCCCUGAAACUGAAAUUCCAGCAGCAACACUGUGUUAAUGCAUCUUGUUCGGCAUCUUAUGUUAUAUGUCAUGUAAUAAUUUCACGUGACACCCGCUAGUGUUUGUGAUAUCAUGUUAACAUGAGGUAUGUCUAAUUUUUUUUCUAGAUUCAUAAAACAAAUGUUACUUUUCAGUGCGAUCUCAGUGUCACUUAGCACACCAAUAAUAGAUAGCAAACCUCACCGUCAUUCUAUUGGCGUACGUUUAACAUGAAACUUCGAUUCCCAUGCUUACAUACCUCAGCGGGAACACUAUUACAUUGUUUAUCUCAUCGGCCUUGACGCUUUCGUGAAUGAGGAGGGUAGCGUCACCACCGUCAUCGACGAUGAGGUUGGGUCCUUUGUCGAGGCCCAGUCGAGGGCACACUCGGUGCACCACCAGUACUCUUGGAGGGUCUCCCUCUUUCAGGCAAAGAUGACGGCACUGUCACAAGCAGUAGCGGCGACGGCGUGGUCCUAGGUGGAGAAGAUGUUGCAGGAGCACCGACGGACCUCGGCCUAGGAAAGGUCAUUGACCUUGUACUCGAGACCACUUGUGUGGUUUUCUCCACCAACAAAGCCAUGGUUUACGCGCUGAGAAAGAAAGAAAGAAAGAAAG